This 71-nucleotide transfer RNA is filed under the name Loxodonta africana (African savanna elephant). It matches the Rfam family "tRNA". From Rfam's summary of the family: Transfer RNA (tRNA) molecules are approximately 80 nucleotides in length. Their secondary structure includes four short double-helical elements and three loops (D, anti-codon, and T loops). Lineage: Eukaryota; Metazoa; Chordata; Mammalia; Proboscidea; Elephantidae. The record is from Rfam by way of RNAcentral.
GCAGUGGUGGUUCAGCGGUAGAAUUCUCGCUUCCCAUUUGGGAGACCCAGGUUCGAUUUCUGGCCAAUGCA